AACGGCCGCGGUAUCCUAACCGUGCGAAGGUAGCGUAAUCACUUGUUCUUUAAAUGGGGACUAGUAUGAACGGCUGCAUGAGGGCCUAACUGUCUCCUGCGAUCAAUCAAUGAACCUGAUCUUUCAGUACAAAAGCUGAAAUAAACACAUAAGACGAGAAGACCCUGUGGAGCUUUAAACAAACCCUAAUUCACAACACCCUCCCCCUCCCGGGGACUAAAACCCCGUAAUUAGCAACGUUUUAAGUUGGGGCGACUGCGGGGAAAAACAAAACCCCCAUGCAACUAAGUACUACAAGUAGACACACUGACAGUAAUAAAUUUGACCCAGCACAGCUGACUAACGAACCAAGUUACCCCAGGGAUAACAGCGCAAUCCCCUUCAAGAGUCCUUAUCGCCAAGGGGGUUUACGACCUC
RNAcentral lists this ribosomal RNA (417 nucleotides) under Uroplatus fimbriatus (common flat-tail gecko). RNAcentral's name for it is "partial 16S ribosomal RNA". It matches the Rfam family "Bacterial large subunit ribosomal RNA", at positions 1926 to 2527 of the family's 2925-position model. Lineage: Eukaryota; Metazoa; Chordata; Lepidosauria; Squamata; Gekkonidae. The record is from RNAcentral.